GGGGCUGUAGCUCAGUGGCAGAGCACUUGCCUAGCAUGCAUGAGGCACUGGGUUCGAUUCUCUGCAACACAU
Molecule: non-coding RNA, 72 nt
Organism: Ictidomys tridecemlineatus (thirteen-lined ground squirrel)
Lineage: Eukaryota; Metazoa; Chordata; Mammalia; Rodentia; Sciuridae
Source: Rfam